Molecule: long non-coding RNA, 3281 nt
Filed under: Fragaria vesca (wild strawberry)
Lineage: Eukaryota; Viridiplantae; Streptophyta; Magnoliopsida; Rosales; Rosaceae
Description: long non-coding RNA (FVES_LNC003848)
Source: RNAcentral
GCAGGUGCACUUUGUUCUUUUCUCUGAAGAUAUUUACAAUGUCUGGUUGGACAAGGCAAAUAAAUUGCUUAAAGCUUAGAGGAGCAAAGAGCAAGGAGCUUGAAGAUGUAUAAGCCAUUCUGUCAUUUUGCAAUGUAAAACCUUUUCAUGUACUGGAGCUGAAGCCUGUGACUUCACGUGUGUAAAACUGAAUGGUUUAUGUUAGUUACCAGUAGAAUUGCUAUUAUCUUGGAGAAUGAUGGAACUUCCAGAGCUACUUGGUAAUUAAUGGCAUCUGCUUGGGCAUCAGAUUAUUUUACAGCAUCACAUUUAUCCUUGGAUCACCGUUUGUUCUUUUGGUUAAUCAAAAUUAAAUACCUGCUUUAUUCAAAGCUUGAAAGUUUAAAUAAGAAAUAAUCAUCUGCUACAUAUUUCACCAGGUGAUAAGGUGAAUGUGUGUUUCAUUUCGGGAUUUAGAGAUAGGAAACUGAGAAUAAUCAGAAUAUGCAGAAAAGGCACUCAUCAAAUGCCAUAAAGUUUUACAUCUUUGUCAAACAAUGGACAAGAACAACUGCAUCUAAAAUGAUUGAAAAUCAGUGUAAGCCUUGAAUGGCAGUCUUUUACACAGCAGCAACACAUCUAUUAGUUUUGGAGUCUAAAUCUAAAGUCUCUGGAUUAAGGGUCUUUGUCUUUGGAUGUAUUUCUGGGGAGUCUGUUAAAAACACUCUCAUCCACAACUUUAUAAUGCCUUGAAAAUUGGCGGUGGAUCUUUCCACAAUACUUACCCACAGUCCCUUCAUAUUUGCUGUACAAAGGCAGGAAUUGUUAUGCACAGGACUGAACCUGCCACCAUCAAAGGAGAAGUAUAAGUAUAAAACCAUACAAGAAAGUUUCGUGUAUCCCCCCCCAUUAUUUUGCAAAGAAACUUGUUAAAGGGGUCUCCAGACCCCAACCAUUUACGCAAUAUAUGGAUGAAAGAACUCAAUGACUGCACUAGCAACAUAGCACACUUUUACUUUCUUUUGUUUUAAUAUGAAAUGUCUGUAUUGCCCCCACGAUCUGAUUUAUUUCCGGAUACGUUUCCGGCUUCCUGCGUAUCCGAGGACAGAUUCUGAACCCUCCGGCUACUCGCUGGUAUGGCUGAAACUUCCGGUAACUCGUUAAAAUAGCCCGAUACGCGUCUGAUACGUCCGGAUACGUAUCCGGAAAUCAAUCGGAUUGUGGGGGCAAUACAGACCUUUCAUCAUGGUUAUUAUCAUUGAAGACGAAAGAGCGCGUUGGGUUACAUCAAUGGGCCGGGUUUUGUCGCCCCGAUAUGGGCCAAUUCUGUGAAGCCAAUCAGGUUGCGCCAGGUGGCAAGUGACUUGUAAAUUUCUGGGACUCUCUGAAAUUUUGACAUUGAUAAAGCUCUGAAAGGGAAUGGCGAGACGUCUGAGGGCGAUCAGUUUGAGGUGUGGUAAAGCUCAGAGCUUUGUUAGGGUUUCGGCGAUGGCGAGUGGAGAAGGAGCUGUGAGGUUUGCUUUGUCUGAUAAAAGCACUCUCGUGAUACAAAUGGGCGAUAUCACCAAGUGGUUCAUCGACGGCUCCACUGAUGCAAUUGUUAGUCUCAAUUAUUAUUAUUAUUUAUUUUUAAUUUUUUUUUUUUUUUUUUUGUAGUUCAUGACAGUAAAUUCAGGGUUUUAGAUUGUAGUGAUGACUUUUAGUUGAGUAUCCUAAAGAGUUUUUAAUCUGGGUUUAGUGUAAGUUUAAUCAUGAAUCUCAAAUCAAUUUUGAGUUUAGUGUAGAAUGUUUGGAGGUUAAUCUAAUAACAUGAUAUUGUGUAGGUUAAUUCAGCUAAUGAGAGAAUGCUUGGAGGUGGUGGAGGUGGUGAUGUAGAUGGAGGUAAAUAAUGGUUUUGUAACGAUGAACUUUCAAAAUGAAUUCAGUGUUGGUAUGCUGAUUUUGGUUCACCUUGCAGCUGUACAUAGGGCUGCUGGGCCAGAUCUUCUACAGGCAUGCUAUGUGUUCCGGAAGCCAGGCCUGGAGUCCGCUGCCCCACCGGAGAAGCGAGAAUUACCCCGUAAGUUGUCAUGAUUAGAGUAGUAUUUAACACUUGUGACUUGAUAUUGCUUUUGAUUGGUACUGCGCGUUAGUAACCAACUGCAUUUGUAAAUGAUGCAGGGGUUUUAAGUUGCCGGCGGCUUAUGUAAUUCACACCGUUGGACCUGUAUACUGUGCUUAUAAUAACCCUGAAGUCUAUCUGAGCUCUGCAUACAGGUGAUUAGUCGUAACUUUUUGUUUCUAGAUGCUGCUACUUUGCUCGGAAUCUAAUUUUUUGUGCUCAUUGAGAUUUCUUUGAUGAAAAUGUUAACAGGAGCAGCUUGAGCAUAGCCAAGGAACACAACAUUCAGUAUGUUGCAUUUCCUGCUAUAUCUUGUGGUGGGUAUGGGUAAGUUCCCAACUGAACUUCGUUCAUGGUUUGGUUCCACUGCAUAAGCUUUACAUGAAGGGUAGGAAUGACGGUACCUGCUGAUCAUUUUGGAUCAGCUGAUUGAGUUACAAUUCAUUCCUUUCAUUACUUGGAGUCGAAACCAAGUUGUGGUAAUUCGUCAUUGGAUUUUUUGUAUUGGAGUUGUAAACAACUGAACAAGCGACUGACAGAUUAAUCUCUUCUUAAUUUGUCAUGUUCUACCAGAUAUCCUUAUGAUGAAGCUUCCGAAGUGGCUCUAUCCACAAUUAAAGAAUCAGUGAAUGACAUAAAAGAGGUAUGGUAUGCUUAUAUCUGCUUCUUGUCAUGGCAGUAAUGUGGGUCUUCUUUUCCAUCUUAAUUUUUCGUUCUUUCUUCAUGCGAUUCCACAUGUUCACUUUCUCUAUUUAGAUGGGUCAGGCUUUGUUCUUGUGGGAAGCAGAACAUUUUUUACCCCGAUAUUGGAAACUAUCUGAAGCAUUAUCUUACUGAAGUUAAAUACACUGCUGAUCCAAAACCCUUGAACAGUUUAAUAUUAUAAUAUAUUUACUAGCAGCUACAUUCUACAUUGUUGCAAGUGCACUGCGUUCUUUUCUCUGAAGAUAUUUACAAUGUCUGGUUGGACAAGGCAAAUAAAUUGCUUAAAGCCUAGAGGAGCAAAGAGCAAGGAGCUUGAAGAUGUACAAGCCAUUCUGUCAUUUUGCACUGUAAAACCUUUCAUGUACUGGAGCUGAAGUGUGCGACUUCUCGUGUGUAAAACCGAAUGGUUUAUGUUAAUUACCAAUUGAAUUGCUAUUCUCUUGGAGAAUGCAUGGAACUUCCAGAGCUACUUGGUAAUUUAUGGCAUCUGCUUGGG